GUAGGUGAACCUGCGGAGGGAUCAUCAAAGAAUAACACAUUCUAAAACUCCAAGUGUUGGAGGAAGAAGGGGGGGGGAAGAGAAAAGGGGGGUCAUCUGUCCAUAUCUGUGGUAGUUGGCGUUUCUUCUUCUUCUUCUUCUUCUUCUCUUCCUCUGAUGCUUCAAACAAACGAUCACAACUAAACGCUAACAGCAAGGGGGGAAAAAGAAAGGCAGAGCAAUCUGUCUUUCUUUCAACAAAUGGUUGCCU
Molecule: unclassified non-coding RNA, 250 nt
Filed under: plant metagenome
Description: partial contains small subunit ribosomal RNA, internal transcribed spacer 1, and 5.8S ribosomal RNA
Source: RNAcentral